RNAcentral lists this ribosomal RNA (303 nucleotides) under uncultured bacterium. RNAcentral describes it as "partial 16S ribosomal RNA". It matches the Rfam family "Bacterial small subunit ribosomal RNA", at positions 510 to 808 of the family's 1533-position model. The record is from RNAcentral.
AGCAGCACCGCGGGAAUACGAAGGGGGCUAGCGUUGCUCGGAAUCACUGGGCGUAAAGGGUGCGUAGGCGGGUCUUUAAGUCAGGGGUGAAAUCCUGGAGCUCAACUCCAGAACUGCCUUUGAUACUGAAGAUCUUGAGUUCGGGAGAGGUGAGUGGAACUGCGAGUGUAGAGGUGAAAUUCGUAGAUAUUCGCAAGAACACCAGUGGCGAAGGCGGCUCACUGGCCCGAUACUGACGCUGAGGCACGAAAGCGUGGGGAGCAAACAGGAUUAGAUACCCCCGUAGUCCCUGUCUCUUAUACC